UUUCCGUAGGUGAACCUGCGGAAGGAUCAUUAAAAAAUAUCACAUUUGUUUGUGAUUUAAUAAUCAUCCUACCCUUUGUGAAUUUGUUUUUGUUUGAAAUUUAUGUUGUCUAUCCCUGGAUUAUGAAAGAAAAGUUGUAAAAGACUUUUUUUUCAUUCUAGGGAAUAGGCUUUCAUAGACAUUUUUUUAAAUUAAACUUUUUGUAUUCAUUUGUCUAAAAUUUAUUUUAAAUAAUUUAAAGACAACUUUUGACAAUGGAUCUCUUGGUUCUCGCAACGAUGAAGAACGCAGCAAAAUGCGAUAAGUAAUGUGAAUUGCAGAAUACGUGAAUCAUCAAAUUUUCGAACGCAUAUUGCACCUUUCUAGUUUACUAGAAAAGUAUGUCUGUUUGUGUAUCAGUAAAAUAUUCUCAUAAAAACUAUUGUUUUUAUGGUUAUGAGUGUUUUACAACGAUAACAAGUUGUUUCACUUUAAAUUGAUUUUUUUAAUAAGCCAAUUUGGUUUUAUUUUUAAAAUUGGAUAAAAUUUUCUCGUAAAAAGGAAUAAACUUUUCAGUUUUAAAGUUAAAACUUAAAUUGACCUACAAAAAAGGAAAUUUAAUUAUAAAACUAACUUGAUCUCAAAUCAGAUAAGAGUACCCGCUGAACUUAAGCAUAUCAAUAAGCGGAGGAAAAGAAACUAACAAGGAUUCCCUUAGUAACGGCGAGUGAAGCGGGAAGAGCUCAAAUUUGAAAUCUUCAAGGUUCUACCUUGACGAAUUGUAGUUUAAAGAAGUGUUCUCUGUUAGUGGAGUGGCAAAAGUUCUUUGGAAUAGGACAUCAUAGAGGGUGAGAAUCCCGUAUUUGGUCAUUCCUUCUAGCUUUGUGAUACACUUUCAAAGAGUCGGAUUGUUUGGGAAUGCAGUCCAAAAUGGGUGGUAAAUUUCAUCUAAAGCUAAAUAUUGGCGAGAGACCGAUAGCGAACAGGUACCGUGAGGGAAAGAUGAAAAGAACUCUGAAAAGAGAGUUAAACAGUACGUGAAAUUGUCAAAAGGGAAGCGUUUGACACCAGUGUUGUUUUUCCGAAAAUCAAUUAUAAAUGUUUUGAUUCUGAGGAGUGAUGACUUCAUCGGCUUCCUUCUCUCUUCACGAAACUUUUGUAAUGCACUUUUCGGUUAACAAGUCAACAUCAAUUUCUUUUGUUGUAAAAGAGUAUUCGGAAGGUGGCUUUCUUUUCGGAGAAAGAGUUUAUAGCCCUAUACUUCUACAAUCGGAGAGAUUGAGGUCUGCAGCGUAGAUCCUUCGGGGUUAGAUACACUUGUGCUAAGUUAUAGCUUUUCAUAGACAACUUGUUGACUAUGUUUAGUCUUGUAGCUUACUCGCUUGUGCUAUUUUACCUACGCUUAGGAUGUUGAC
Molecule: unclassified non-coding RNA, 1394 nt
Filed under: uncultured Neocallimastigales
Lineage: Eukaryota; Fungi; Neocallimastigomycota; Neocallimastigomycetes; Neocallimastigales
Description: partial contains small subunit ribosomal RNA, internal transcribed spacer 1, 5.8S ribosomal RNA, internal transcribed spacer 2, and large subunit ribosomal RNA
Rfam family: Eukaryotic large subunit ribosomal RNA (bases 615-1394)
Source: RNAcentral